Molecule: ribosomal RNA, 841 nt
Filed under: uncultured Actinomycetes bacterium
Lineage: Bacteria; Bacillati; Actinomycetota; Actinomycetes
Description: bacterial SSU rRNA
Rfam family: Bacterial small subunit ribosomal RNA
Source: RNAcentral
GACGAACGCUGGCGGCGUGCUUAACACAUGCAAGUCGAACGGAAAAGGCCUGCAGCUUGCUGCGGGUACUCGAGUGGCGAACGGGUGAGUAACACGUGGGUGAUCUGCCUUGCACUUCGGGAUAAGCUUGGGAAACUGGGUCUAAUACCGGAUAGGACAGCUGUUUAGUGUCAGUUGUGGAAAGUUUUUUCGGUGCAAGAUGAGCUCGCGGCCUAUCAGCUUGUUGGUGGGGUAAUGGCCUACCAAGGCGUCGACGGGUAGCCGGCCUGAGAGGGUGUACGGCCACAUUGGGACUGAGAUACGGCCCAGACUCCUACGGGAGGCAGCAGUGGGGAAUAUUGCACAAUGGGCGGAAGCCUGAUGCAGCGACGCCGCGUGGGGGAUGAAGGCCUUCGGGUUGUAAACUCCUUUCGACAGGGACGAAGCGUAAGUGACGGUACCUGUAUAAGAAGCACCGGCUAACUACGUGCCAGCAGCCGCGGUAAUACGUAGGGUGCGAGCGUUGUCCGGAAUUACUGGGCGUAAAGAGCUCGUAGGUGGUUUGUCGCGUCGUCUGUGAAAUUCCGGGGCUUAACUCCGGGCGUGCAGGCGAUACGGGCUGACUUGAGUGCUGUAGGGGAGACUGGAAUUCCUGGUGUAGCGGUGAAAUGCGCAGAUAUCAGGAGGAACACCGAUGGCGAAGGCAGGUCUCUGGGCAGUAACUGACGCUGAGGAGCGAAAGCAUGGGUAGCGAACAGGAUUAGAUACCCUGGUAGUCCAUGCCGUAAACGGUGGGCGCUAGGUGUAGGGGGCUUCCACGUCUUCUGUGCCGUAGCUAACGCAUUAAGCGCCCCGCCUGGGG